The sequence is a small nuclear RNA, 144 nucleotides long. Its record names the gene U2. It matches the Rfam family "U2 spliceosomal RNA". From Rfam's summary of the family: U2 is a small nuclear RNA (snRNA) component of the spliceosome (involved in pre-mRNA splicing). The record is from Ensembl.
AGCUCUUCUCGGCCUUUUUGGCUAAGAUCAAGUACAGCAUCUGUUCUUAUCAGUUUAAUAUCUGAUAUUUUCUUUAUCUGAGGCUAUAUAUUAAAUGGAUUUUCCGAGCAGGGAGCUGCAAUAGGAACUUACUCUGCAGGGAGA